RNAcentral lists this ribosomal RNA (485 nucleotides) under uncultured bacterium. RNAcentral's name for it is "partial 16S ribosomal RNA". It matches the Rfam family "Bacterial small subunit ribosomal RNA", at positions 28 to 507 of the family's 1533-position model. The record is from RNAcentral.
GAUGAACGCUGGCGGCGUGCUUAACACAUGCAAGUCGAACGGGAUCCAAGGGGUGCUUGCACUUUUUGGUGAGAGUGGCGAACGGGUGAGUAACACGUGAGUAACCUGUCCUUUUCUUUGGGAUAAGCAUUCGAAAGGGUGUUUAAUACCUUAUGUUCUGUCUGCCUCGCAUGGGGUGGGUGGGAAAGGCUUUGGCCGGAUUUGGGUGGGCUCGCGGUGUAUCAGCUUGUUGGUGGGGUGAUGGCUUACCAAGGCUUUGACGGGUAGCCGGCCUGAGAGGGUGGUCGGUCACAUUGGGACUGAGAUACGGCCCAGACUCCUGCGGGAGGCAGCAGUGGGGGAUAUUGCACAAUGGGCGAAAGCCUGAUGCAGCGACGCCGCGUGGGGGAUGAAGGCCUUCGGGUUGUAAACUUCUUUUGCUCUGAACAAGGCAUGCCAGUGGGUGUGUUGAGUGUAGGGGUUGAUUAGCGCCGGCUAACUACGUG